This 441-nucleotide ribosomal RNA is filed under the name uncultured bacterium. Its description in RNAcentral is "partial 16S ribosomal RNA". It matches the Rfam family "Bacterial small subunit ribosomal RNA", at positions 338 to 795 of the family's 1533-position model. The record is from RNAcentral.
CCUACGGGAGGCAGCAGUCGGGAAUAUUGCGCAAUGGACGAAACUCUGACGCAGUGACGCCGCGUAUAGGAAGAAGGUUUUCGGAUUGUAAACCAUUGUCGUUAGGGAAGAUAAAAGACUGUAGCUAAGGAGGAAGCACCGGCUAACUAUGUGCCAGCAGCCGCGGUAAUACAUAGGGGGCAAGCGUUAUCCGGAUUUAUUGGGUGUAAAGGGUGCGUAGACGGAAGAACAAGUUGGUUGUGAAAUCCCUCGGCUCAACUGAGGAACUGCAACCAAAACUAUUCGCCUUGAGUGCAGGAGAGGAGAGUGGAAUUCCUAGUGUAGCGGUGAAAUGCGUAGAUAUUAGGAGGAACACCAGUGGCGAAGGCGACUUUCUGGACUAUAACUGACGCUGAGGCACGAAAGUGUGGGGAGCAAACAGGAUUAGAUACCCCGGUAGUC